Molecule: ribosomal RNA, 600 nt
Filed under: Eukaryota sp. 1 RB-2011
Lineage: Eukaryota
Description: eukaryotic LSU rRNA
Rfam family: 5.8S ribosomal RNA (bases 238-391)
Source: RNAcentral
UCUUGGUCAUUUAGAGGAAGUAAAAGUCGUAACAAGGUCUCCGUAGGUGAACCUGCGGAGGGAUCAUUACAGAGUUCAUGCCCUUCGGGGUAGACCUCCCACCCAGUGUAUUUAUACCUUUGUUGCUUUGGCAGGCCGCUAGGCCUCGGUCUAGCUCCUGGCUCCGGCUAGGGAGUGCCUGCCAGAGGACCCUAAAACCUGAAUGUUAGUGUCGUCUGAGUACUAUACAAUAGUUAAAACUUUCAACAACGGAUCUCUUGGUUCUGGCAUCGAUGAAGAACGCAGCGAAAUGCGAUAAGUAAUGUGAAUUGCAGAAUUCAGCGAAUCAUCGAAUCUUUGAACGCACAUUGCGCCCCUUGGUAUUCCGGGGGGCAUGCCUGUUCGAGCGUCAUUACAACCCUCAAGCUCUGCUUGGUGUUGGGCGUCACCAGCCUUGGUGUGCCCUAAAAUCAGUGGCGGCGCCGUCUGGCUCUAAGCGUAGUACAUACUCUCGCUAUGGACGCCUGGCGGAUGCUUGCCAGCAAACCCCUAAUUUAUCAAGGUUGACCUCGGAUCAGGUAGGGAUACCCGCUGAACUUAAGCAUAUCAAUAAGCGGAGGA